UGGGGAAUAUUGGACAAUGGGGGGAACCCUGAUCCAGCCAUGCCGCGUGUGUGAAGAAGGCCUUAUGGUUGUAAAGCACUUUAAGCGAGGAGGAGGCUACUAGUAUUAAUACUACUGGAUAGUGGACGUUACUCGCAGAAUAAGCACCGGCUAACUCUGUGCCAGCAGCCGCGGUAAUACAGAGGGUGCGAGCGUUAAUCGGAUUUACUGGGCGUAAAGCGUGCGUAGGCGGCCAUUUAAGUCAAAUGUGAAAUCCCCGAGCUUAACUUGGGAAUUGCAUUCGAUACUGGAUGGCUAGAGUAUGGGAGAGGAUGGUAGAAUUCCAGGUGUAGCGGUGAAAUGCGUAGAGAUCUGGAGGAAUACCGAUGGCGAAGGCAGCCAUCUGGCCUAAUACUGACGCUGAGGUACGAAAGCAUGGGGAGCAAACAGGAUUAGAUACCCUGGUAGUCCAUGCCGUAAACGAUGUCUACUAGCCGUUGGGGCCUUUGAGGCUUUAGUGGCGCAGCUAACGCGAUAAGUAGACCGCCUGGGGAGUACGGUCGCAAGACUAAAACUCAAAGGAAUUGACGGGGUCAUAGCUGUUUCCUG
Molecule: ribosomal RNA, 588 nt
Filed under: uncultured bacterium
Lineage: Bacteria
Description: partial 16S ribosomal RNA
Rfam family: Bacterial small subunit ribosomal RNA
Source: RNAcentral